RNAcentral lists this unclassified non-coding RNA (391 nucleotides) under soil metagenome. RNAcentral's name for it is "partial contains 5.8S ribosomal RNA, internal transcribed spacer 2, and large subunit ribosomal RNA". The stretch from base 1 to 122 matches the Rfam family "5.8S ribosomal RNA", at positions 35 to 154 of the family's 154-position model. The record is from RNAcentral.
GAUGAAGAACGUAGCGAAAUGGGAUACUUGGUGUGAAUUGCAGAAUCCCGUGAACCAUCGAGUCUUUGAACGCAAGUUGCGCCCGAAGCCAUUAGGCCGAGGGCACGCCUGCCUGGGCGUCACACGUCGUUGCCCCCCCAUCUACUCCUUCGGGAUUGCGGGGGGCGGAUGAUGGCCUCCCGUGCGCCUCGUCGCGCGGUUGGCAUAAAUGCCAAGUCCUCGGCGACGCACGCCACGACAAUCGGUGGUUGCGAAACCUCGGUUGCCCGUCGUGUGCGGUCGUCGCGCAUCGAGGGCUCGAAAAAAUUGCCGGGCUCCGGCUCGGCUUUCAACGCGACCCCAGGUCAGGCGGGGUUACCCGCUGAAUUUAAGCAUAUCAAUAAGCGGAGGA